AACCAAAACUCUUUGUCAGGGUGUAUCUACAGUUUUUAUGCUGAAAUUCUUCAAAAGAUAUGUCUGUUACAGUCUUGGAAAAUUAAUACUAUUCGCUGCGUUUCAAACCGUUUCGUUCUGAAACAAUAUCUGAAUGCAUUUUAGAAGGACAACCUUUGUUUUAAAGGUAUACCUUCGCCUUUUAGAAUAGGAGGGAUUUUAUGAGUUGACAUUAUAACUGAUAUAGCUAUUCUAUAUCCUUAUACUAUAAUGUCGUAGUAAAAAACCCUACAACC
This 275-nucleotide small nucleolar RNA is filed under the name Henningerozyma blattae CBS 6284. Its description in RNAcentral is "Tetrapisispora blattae CBS 6284 Small nucleolar RNA snR191". It matches the Rfam family "Small nucleolar RNA snR191". Lineage: Eukaryota; Fungi; Ascomycota; Saccharomycetes; Saccharomycetales; Saccharomycetaceae. The record is from Rfam by way of RNAcentral.